Long non-coding RNA from Heterocephalus glaber (naked mole-rat), 1781 nucleotides. NCBI's taxonomy places the organism in Eukaryota, Metazoa, Chordata, Mammalia, Rodentia, Bathyergidae. The record is from Ensembl.
GGCGCAAACUUCCUCCUUCCAGCUGCAGCUCACUGUCCACCUACGUUUCCAGGUCUUCCCUUGUAAAUCACAAACAUGAACACUAAAAUGAAACCUGCGCUUCAGGCUCACAUUUAUCAGUAGGACCUGUGCGCCCACGUUCUUAGUUUGAACAUGAAUCCCAAGAGCUCGUUGGUAUUUAAAGGAAGCUCACUGGCAUCGUGUUAUUUUCUGAAGUCAGCGUCUACGCAGCUCUCUUCCGGGACGUUGCUAUGGCGUCUCCCAGAGUCAUUCUGCCCCUCGCCUCUUACUGCUCUCUGAAAAGCGGGGUCCGCACACAGAUUUUUAACUUUGUUGUGGGUCUGGUGGCUCCAAGUUCCGCAACCCCUCUGGGGGGAAGGUGGGCGUGGAACUGAGGGCCCAGCCUCCUUACUCUGCAGCCCCGAGGUAAAGGCACAGGACUCACCUGGGCAUAGGUGUGGGGAGCCGCCCUGACCCGCCCUCCAGGAGCCCGGAGGUGGAGGUCUGUGGAGGAGGCCAGCAGGGGACCUGAGGGGAGAUCCACUGGGUUCCCAUCCAGGGGGCCACACACUUCAAGGAGGGGUGAGCAGAGGGCAAGACGCGGGUCUCUCCUGGGGCUUGAACCCUGCCCUGGCCACAGCGACGCCCCGCACUAGCAGGGCCCAGGGCACUGACACCCUUGAGGCACAGUGGCCUGGAGCAGGAGACACCGGAUCUGCUCCCGAGGUGUCUGGACACAGCUCAGGGCGCCUCAGCACUUCCUGUGUGAUGGGAGCGCCCCGUGGUCCGUGGGUGGCUAGGAGGAGGCUGGUUGCCAGAUGGAUGGGGUCAGAAGCAGGGGCAGAAAGCUGGGCUUGAGCUGUCACUGAACCCUCCCCACUGCGGCCUCCCGGAAACCCAGGUGUCCACAUUCACAGGGAACACGUGCUCAGGGAGGAGGGUGCAGCCCCACUCCACAGCGACAGGCGCCGGAUCCCUUAUUACACCAGGAUACGUCCCUGUGACAUGCCAGGACACGUCACUGACACCGCAGGACACGUCCCUGCAGCAUGUCCCUAGGCGGGGAAUAGAAACCUGAGCACAGGGUGGCGGCCCCGAUUAUAGAUGGUCACUCAGGACUUGGGUGGACCUGCAGCCUCGGGACAGUCUUGGGGACCGAGCCCUCGCCUCAGCGGAGUGCGCCAUCCCCCAGUACUGUCAAACUGUGACCUGUGGGCCCAGGCUGGCAUCCGGGCAUCAGAGAACAGGUUUCCGGGUCACAAACGCCCGGGGGAGGGCUCUGAAGUCCGGCUGCCUUUGCUCUCUCUUCCUUGCCCCAGCAAUAGAUGCCACCAAGCAGAUCCACCUCACCGGUGACCUCGUGCAGCAGCUCCACCGCUGGUUCCUCCAGGGCCUGCAGCUGGCUUUUCAUGAGUGUCUCAAACGUCCUGUAGUUCACGAACCCGGGCAGCUCUUUGCCACAAUGCUGGCUUUCGAAUUGCCAGACUUUACUUUUUAAACCAUCAUAACCUGCAGCAGGAAAGGGUAGCUUUGCAGUAUUUUACAAAAACAAAGUUCUAAUAAUCCCAUAAAUCCCAAUUAUCAAGCCCCAAUCAAAAAUAAAUCUUGAUUUUCAAAUGGGCCACUACCCCAGAACUGCAGUAAAGAAACCAGCAUGAGGAGGAUUCAGCUCCAUGAGCCUGGCUGGGCGUAUAGAGCCAGUGAGCCAGGCACAGAGCAAGAGCAGAGCUCAGGUGCAUGGAUCCUGGGGAAGCACUGGGGUCCGGGUUUGAGCAACCCCA